CCCUUAGAUGUCCGGGGCCGCACGCGCGCUACACUGAAGGAAUCAGCGUGGCUUUCUCCCUGACCCUAAAGGGUUGGGAAACCCGUUGAAUCUCCUUCGUGAUAGGGAUUGGGGCUUGAAAUUGUUCCCCAUGAACGAGGAAUUCCCAGUAAGCGCGAGUCAUAAGCUCGCGUUGAUUACGUCCCUGCCCUUUGUACACACCGCCCGUCGCUACUACCGAUUGAACGGUUUAGUGAGGGCCUCGGAUUGGUCUCGGCCCGCUCUUUACCGGGCGGCGCCGUUGGUCGAGAAGACGCUCGAACUUGAUCGUUUAGAGGAAGUAAAAGUCGUAACA
Molecule: ribosomal RNA, 334 nt
Filed under: uncultured eukaryote
Lineage: Eukaryota
Description: partial 18S ribosomal RNA
Rfam family: Eukaryotic small subunit ribosomal RNA
Source: RNAcentral